GCCCUUUUCCGGUUGAUCCUGCCGGAGCCACUGCUAUCGGGGUUCGAUUAAGCCAUGCGAGUCGAGAGGUGCAAGACCUCGGCAUACUGCUCAGUAACACGUGGACAACCUACCCUGAGGAGGGGGAUAACCCCGGAAAACUGGGGAUAAUACCCCAUAGGCCAGGGAUGCUGGAAUGCCUCCUGGUUGAAAGGUCCGCCGCCUCAGGAUGGGUCUGCGGCCGAUUAGGUUGUUGUUGGGGUAACGGCCAACCAAGCCAUGAUCGGUACGGGUUGUGGGAGCAAGAGCCCGGAGAUGGAUUCUAGACACGAAUCCAGGGCCUACGGGGCGCAGCAGGCGCGAAAACUUUACAAUGCGAGAAAUCGUGAUAAAGGGAACCCCGAGUGCCCGUAAAUUCGGGCUGUCCAUCAGUUGUAAAAAACUGGUGAAGAAAGGGCCGGGCAAGACCGGGUGCCAGCCGCCGCGGUAAUACCGGCGGCUCGAGUGGUGCCCGCUAUUAUUGGGCUUAAAGCGUCCGUAGCUGGGUUGUUAAGUCUCCUGGGAAAUCCACCGGCUCAACCGGUGGGCGUUCGGGAGAAACUGGCAACCUAGGGACCGGGAGAGGUGAGAGGUACUCCAGGGGUAGGAGUGAAAUCCUGUAAUCUUUGGGGGACCACCUGGUGGCGAAGGCGUCUCACUAGAACGGCUCCGACAGUGAGGGACGAAAGCUGGGGGAGCAAACCGGAUUAGAUACCCGGGUAGUCCCAGCUGUAAACGAUGCGCGUUAGGUGUAUCGGUGACCACGAGUCACCGAGGUGCCGAAGGGAAACCGUGAAACGUGCCGCCUGGGAAGUACGGUCGCAAGGCUGAAACUUAAAGGAAUUGGCGGGAA
RNAcentral lists this ribosomal RNA (871 nucleotides) under uncultured methanogenic archaeon. Its description in RNAcentral is "bacterial SSU rRNA". It matches the Rfam family "Archaeal small subunit ribosomal RNA", at positions 1 to 874 of the family's 1478-position model. Lineage: Archaea; Methanobacteriati; Methanobacteriota. The record is from RNAcentral.